UGGAUAUAACCUGUUCCUGUGUC
Molecule: non-coding RNA, 23 nt
Filed under: Rattus norvegicus (Norway rat)
Lineage: Eukaryota; Metazoa; Chordata; Mammalia; Rodentia; Muridae
Source: RNAcentral